This is a long non-coding RNA of Achroia grisella, 1100 nucleotides long. RefSeq lists it as uncharacterized. The transcript is spliced from 7 exons. NCBI's taxonomy places the organism in Eukaryota, Metazoa, Arthropoda, Insecta, Lepidoptera, Pyralidae. The record is from RefSeq and is a predicted model, not a curated record.
UUUUUCCAAGGAUAUCGGUAAUUAAAAAUGCGACAUUACCUAAUUUAUGGAAAAUUGUCAAAAUGAUCUCUCGCUUUCACCGGAAUAUUCAUUGUUGAUGUGUAUAAAUAUAUCUAUUCCAGAAUUCGAAGGCGGCUCAGUAUACGAGAGAGAGAUGCGUAUCGAUCGCGUGCGCUGCUGACUCGGCAGGUGGCUGGUACGCUUCAGGGUGGCGUAGCCUGGAACACGCACCAAGCAAACUUACAGUAUCUUUAACAAUUAUCAAUAACCUUGGUUCAACCUGUGCUUAAUUUGGGACUAGAUGACAUUGCGCUGUAUGAAAACAUCAAGAAAAGAACAAAGGUGAAAAUAAAUUUUAAACUCAAAAGUUUGUAUGGCUCGGGGAUCAACUGUCGGCAACAUUCCAUGACAAUUGGAGCAUCGAUACGCUUUAAGCUGAAACCUCACUAAGCAAGCGAUAGAAUGAACUAACGUCGUUCACACUAUAUACAAGCUGAAGCGACACAACGAGCUGAUAUCUGACAAUUUAAGAAAAACAAGAGCACCAUAAUUCUCGUGCCGGUUGAUCAGAUACUGCCGUAAUGGCAAUAAUGGAUCCUGGUCAGCGGCCCGCAUGCAAAUAAAUCUGCGGCCCGAUGCAAUGAUGUGUGGAAAAUGGGGCUCACCCCUUUUGCCCAGUCGUGUCCCACCUACGCUGAUCUGCUGGCCCGAUGCUGUUUUAGUAACAAAUAUAAACCUGAGGUUAUAAACGGCACGGUACAUAAAGAUUAAAUAAACCUUCGCAGUCUACGCUCAAUUAGCCAUGAAACUAAUAGGGAGGCGGUGAGAAAGAAUGAGGUGCAUUAAAGGUGUUUGUAGUACGCCUGGGCACAGAGCAGCCAUCUGUCCUGCCGUAGUCCCACAAACUCACGAUAGGGCAGUCAGUACCUCCGAAUAAUGGACACAAGACGAGAGGGGACCGACUAUAAGUCACAAAGAGCUAUCCUUUAUCAGCGAAUCAAUGACCGCCCGUUAUGAUACAUGGGACUUACCGGGUACAGUUUUAGCUAUCUCUGAAGAAAUGUAAUAUUUAUAAGGGUAAGCCUCGUUAAAAUCUUUAU